AGAGUUUGAUCAUGGCUCAGAUUGAACGCUGGCGGCAGGCCUAACACAUGCAAGUCGAGCGGAUGACGGGAGCUUGCUCCUUGGUCCAGCGGCGGACGGGUGAGUAAUGCCUAGGAAUCUGCCUGGUAGUGGGGGACAACGUUUCGAAAGGAACGCUAAUACCGCAUACGUCCUACGGGAGAAAGCAGGGAACCUUCGGGCCUUGCGCUAUCAGAACACCCUAGGUCGGAUUAGCUAGUUGGUGAGGUAAUGGCUCACCAAGGCGACGAUCCGUAACUGGUCUGAGAGGAUGAUCAGUCACACUGGAACUGAGACACGGUCCAGACUCCUACGGGAGGCAGCAGUGGGGAAUAUUGGACAAUGGGCGAAAGCCUGAUCCAGGCAUGCCGCGUGUGUGAAGAAGGUCUUCGGAUUGUAAAGCACUUUAAGUUGGGAGGAAGGGCAGUAAGCUAAUACCUUGCUGUUUUGACGUUACCGACAGAAUAAGCACCGGUUAACU
RNAcentral lists this ribosomal RNA (499 nucleotides) under Pseudomonas putida. RNAcentral's name for it is "bacterial SSU rRNA". It matches the Rfam family "Bacterial small subunit ribosomal RNA", at positions 8 to 502 of the family's 1533-position model. The record is from RNAcentral. Lineage: Bacteria; Pseudomonadati; Pseudomonadota; Gammaproteobacteria; Pseudomonadales; Pseudomonadaceae.